CAAGACUUAAUUAAUGAAUUAAGCUUAUAAAAUUAGAUUAGGUCUAAAAUUGAGAAUUUCAGAUCUAAGUCAUUUUCAUAAAAUUGGGUUCGGGCUUGGGUAGCUCAAUUAGGUCUAGCGGUUGAUCAAACCGAAUCAACAGUUGGUUAGGUGAGAUCAUGAAAGCUAAUAAUUGACCAGCCUAAUAGGAUUAAGUCUGGGUCA
This 204-nucleotide long non-coding RNA is filed under the name Elaeis guineensis (African oil palm). Its description in RNAcentral is "long non-coding RNA (EGUI_LNC050629)". Lineage: Eukaryota; Viridiplantae; Streptophyta; Magnoliopsida; Arecales; Arecaceae. The record is from RNAcentral.